GAUAAACGCUGGCGGCGUGCUUAACACAUGCAAGUCGAACGAAGUUUUUCCUUCGGGAGAAACUUAGUGGCGGACGGGUGAGUAACGCGUGGGUAACCUGCCCUGUACAGGGGGACAACAGCUGGAAACGGCUGCUAAUACCGCAUAAGCACUUAGCACUGCAUGGUGCAUAGGGAAAAGGAGCAAUCCGGUACAGGAUGGACCCGCGUCUGAUUAGCCAGUUGGCAGGGUAACGGCCUACCAAAGCGACGAUCAGUAGCCGAUCUGAGAGGAUGUACGGCCACAUUGGGACUGAGACACGGCCCAGACUCCUACGGGAGGCAGCAGUGGGGAAUAUUGCACAAUGGAGGAAACUCUGAUGCAGCGACGCCGCGUGAGUGAAGAAGUAUUUCGGUAUGUAAAGCUCUAUCAGCAGGGAAGAAAAUGACGGUACCCGACUAAGAAGCACCGGCUAAAUACGUG
Molecule: ribosomal RNA, 462 nt
Filed under: uncultured bacterium
Lineage: Bacteria
Description: partial 16S ribosomal RNA
Rfam family: Bacterial small subunit ribosomal RNA
Source: RNAcentral